Molecule: non-coding RNA, 252 nt
Organism: Cricetulus griseus (Chinese hamster)
Lineage: Eukaryota; Metazoa; Chordata; Mammalia; Rodentia; Cricetidae
Source: RefSeq, a predicted model, not a curated record
GUGGGCGCUACUCUCCGUGUUUCUGCCCCCAGGGAGAAGGCUCUGGCCCUCACAGGGAACCAGGGCAUCGAGGCUGCGAUGGACUGGCUUAUGGAGCACGAAGACGACCCCGAUGUGGACGAGCCUCUAGAGACUCCCCUCGGCCAUAUCCUGGGACGGGAACCCACGUCCUCAGAGCAAGUUGGCCCUGAAGGAUCUGGGUCUGCUGCUGAAGAAAGCAAACCCAUUUUGACUGAAGAGGAGAGGCAAGAA